ACGCUGGCGGCAGGCCUAACACAUGCAAGUCGAGCGGUAGAGAGAAGCUUGCUUCUCUUGAGAGCGGCGGACGGGUGAGUAAUGCCUAGGAAUCUGCCUGGUAGUGGGGGAUAACGUUCGGAAACGGACGCUAAUACCGCAUACGUCCUACGGGAGAAAGCAGGGGACCUUCGGGCCUUGCGCUAUCAGAUGAGCCUAGGUCGGAUUAGCUAGUUGGUGGGGUAAUGGCUCACCAAGGCGACGAUCCGUAACUGGUCUGAGAGGAUGAUCAGUCACACUGGAACUGAGACACGGUCCAGACUCCUACGGGAGGCAGCAGUGGGGAAUAUUGGACAAUGGGCGAAAGCCUGAUCCAGCCAUGCCGCGUGUGUGAAGAAGGUCUUCGGAUUGUAAAGCACUUUAAGUUGGGAGGAAGGGUUGUAGAUUAAUACUCUGCAAUUUUGACGUUACCGACAGAAUAAGCACCGGCUAACUCUGUGCCAGCAGCCGCGGUAAUACAGAGGGUGCAAGCGUUAAUCGGAAUUACUGGGCGUAAAGCGCGCGUAGGUGGUUAGUUAAGUUGGAUGUGAAAUCCCCGGGCUCAACCUGGGAACUGCAUUCAAACUGACUGGCUAGAGUAUGG
Molecule: ribosomal RNA, 622 nt
Filed under: uncultured bacterium
Lineage: Bacteria
Description: bacterial SSU rRNA
Rfam family: Bacterial small subunit ribosomal RNA
Source: RNAcentral